This 430-nucleotide ribosomal RNA is filed under the name uncultured bacterium. Its description in RNAcentral is "bacterial SSU rRNA". It matches the Rfam family "Bacterial small subunit ribosomal RNA", at positions 355 to 786 of the family's 1533-position model. The record is from RNAcentral.
UGAGGAAUAUUGGUCAAUGGGCGGGAGCCUGAACCAGCCAAGCCGCGUGAGGGAAUAAGGCCCUACGGUCGUAAACCUCUUUUGUCGGGGAACAAAAGCGGGGACGCGUCCCCGUCUGCGUGUACCCGAAGAAAAGCAUCGGCUAACUCCGUGCCAGCAGCCGCGGUAAUACGGAGGAUGCGAGCGUUAUCCGGAUUUAUUGGGUUUAAAGGGUGCGUAGGCGGUCCGGAAAGUCAGCGGUAAAACUUCGGGGCUCAACCCCGUUUAGCGUUGAAACUGUCGGACUAGAGAGGAAGAGAAGCAGGCGGAAUGCGCGGUGUAGCGGUGAAAUGCGUAGAUAUUCGGAGGAACACCGGUGGCGAAGGCGGCCAACUGGGCUUUAACUGACGCUGAGGCUCGAAAGUGUGGGGAGCAAACAGGAUUAGAUACC